UCAAAUAUUUAUUUCCCCAGUUAAUAUAGCAGAAAACAUACAUUUUCAAAGCCAAACAAGUAACGAACAGAGGACCGACAGGCUAAGGCCUUCAAUUUAAAGUCAUGCACUGCACAUAAUUAUAAAUCACAGAUUGUCUCAGUCGUUGGUCGGUUGCGCUUGUCCACACUCAAAUAACUUGACGCCAAGUUGAUACGUUUCACGCAAGAUUUAAUGUUAUCAUCAAGUGCAUGUGGCCGAGGAGGGUUACCACUGCCGAUAUAUAUCGCCGCGACAGUGAACGUAGAAUUGCUGGCUCAUCAAUAGCAGAGGGUAUUCGCCCAAGCACUCUCAUACACACAGACUAUCUUUGCAACAGUACCAAAGGUCGGUGAAUGCGCUGAUGCAGCGAAGGAGCGAAAGGAACAGGGUGGAGCUGGAUGCGAUGAUGUGUAUCACAAGUGCAUCUAAUGUUUGUGGCCAUGUUGACUUAAGGUCGUGCAGCUGGAAAAAAGCAACAGCAACAACAAUAGCUACAGGAACAAUUGAUGACGCGGCCAGCGCUAACUCAGUCAAACAGGCCCACAUAUUGCCAGCACUGUCAAUACUGACAUACUUUAUUUGGCUCUUAGUAGUAGUGCGGAAUUCAAUUAGCAUAUGCUUUAUGCAUGAGACACGUAAAUUCGCACAUAUUCAGAUGUCCGGCCCGUUCAACCAAUCUCCACCCGUACACUUAACACACGUGGGGAGCAUAGACCAUGCCAAGCUCUUCCUUACAAGCACACGAACACAAAACACACAGUUGGGGUUGUGCGUGCCAGUUGCUUGUGACUGCACCAAGGGGUGUGCGCGUAAUCUUCCUCGUACUUGGCAGUGCAAAUAAAAAAUUCUCAUUGCGUGUAGGUUUUCCUUCUUGCCAUCUGUGUCCCAGCUGAAUGGAGGUCGUGGCAACUUUGUUGACUGGCAGUUUGAAACUCACCGAAAUGUCUUCUGCCAGGGAUUCCUUUUUUGUGGAUAAAACAAGAAUCAAAUUGUACGAAAAGUAUAGGAGAAUAAUUUUGCUAACACAAAUAUGAUUUUUAACAGUUUGUCAGCUUGAUUUUAAUUUAAUUUUGAAUUUAAUUAAACUAAUUUUAUAUAAAUAA
This is a long non-coding RNA of Drosophila montana, 1124 nucleotides long. RefSeq lists it as uncharacterized. NCBI's taxonomy places the organism in Eukaryota, Metazoa, Arthropoda, Insecta, Diptera, Drosophilidae. The record is from RefSeq and is a predicted model, not a curated record. The transcript is spliced from 2 exons.